RNAcentral lists this long non-coding RNA (427 nucleotides) under Sorghum bicolor (sorghum). RNAcentral describes it as "long non-coding RNA (SBIC_LNC010915)". Lineage: Eukaryota; Viridiplantae; Streptophyta; Magnoliopsida; Poales; Poaceae. The record is from RNAcentral.
AGCUGGAUGUUGACGUCGGUCUUACCCGAUGUUCCAGAACCGCAUCAUGGUUGUGAUAUUGUCGUUCAUUGUUGUUGUAUCUUAUCUCAAUUCUUGUACUGCAGCGGCAUGGUCCUGGUUCUAUUUUUGUUGCUCUUCCAGGAGUCUUCCAUGUUCUGCUUGCGUGUUUUGGAUGUCGAGGAGGGUGUUGUCGGUACGAGAGAAGAAAGCACCGGCCUCUUGAUAGUAGUCAUUCGUGAAGGCGUAGGAGGCGUCGGAGUAUCGUCCUGCAUCAAAUUGAGGCGGAGGUCUGGAUCCUGAAGCUCCAUAUGGAUCAGUGGAGUACCUGCCCGUAUGAAAAGGCGGGUUUGUCCACUGGUGAUCUUGGCUCUCCGGCCAUGUCUCCUCUAUUGGCUCUUGUGGUUGCGCAUGACGAGCCCAUGGGUCU